Molecule: non-coding RNA, 1776 nt
Organism: Cucurbita pepo subsp. pepo (vegetable marrow)
Lineage: Eukaryota; Viridiplantae; Streptophyta; Magnoliopsida; Cucurbitales; Cucurbitaceae
Source: RefSeq, a predicted model, not a curated record
UAAAGGGGAAGAACACAAAGUAAACCCAGCGAGCGGAAUUGUUGGGAUCUUUUUGGUUCGACAAUUACAACACAAAUUACUAUGAUUCUUUCUUCCAUUAUCAUUCAUUCAUCCGACAAUUACUUUUCCCGAUUUGUCUUCUUCCACUUCCUUCAAUCCCCUAAACCCUAAAAAUCCACCUCUCAAAUCCCAUCGUGUGGCUGCAAAUCCGCGCCUGUUUUUGUCCUUCUUUUCUUCCGUGCAUUUCCGGAUUCAAAUCAUGUGCAUCUUCUUGAUCUCUCUCUUUAAUGGGUCCCCUGUUCGAUUCUGUAAUGCAAUCAUGGAAUUUCUUGAAGAUUAGUGUUCUUCGCUUUGAUCCUUCCAGUUCUCCCCGAAGUGAUCGUUCAUGCAGCGGAUUGAUGUCGUGUAAGCUUUCUGAUGCUUUGUGCUAAUAGCUACUGUUUGUUGUUUGUAAUCGGACUUGGCCUUAUUAUUGUGAUGUGUCGUUGUCAACUAGUGGGGGUUGCGGGGAAAUGGUGGCUUGUUCAUGGCGAGUGGUAAGGAUUUAGGCAUGUGGAAGGCAGAGAGUGACUGUUCAGUUUCUUGACUCUUAAUUUGUUCUGCUCUGAAUAAAGGAUGAAAGACAAUUUUCUGGUCUAAAUUGUUGCUGUGCUUAUCAUGGAGUAAACUCUUCUCUUACCUGAGUGAUUCAACAGGUUAAACAAUUAUGUUUAUCAUGAUUUUGCAAGAACUUUUGCUAAUUUUCAGGGGAAAAUCAUUAAGUUAACUGGGAAUUCCAUGUUACUGUGUAUACAAAUUCAUCAGCCUUCUCAAUCAUUAUCUUGUUGUUGUUGGAACUCUUAUCUUGACCGUGGUUGAGAUGUGUCACGGUCAUGCUUGUUCAAGGUUGUUGCCCAUGGUCGCAUCCUUGUUACGUGCCACAACCCUUACCUUGUAUCACUUUAUUGCUUUCCUUUACUGCUUUCUUGAUGUAUAAUUUCCUUCUUGUCUUUUCUAAGUGUAUGACGUUUCAGCAGAAUCAUGUCUACGUCGGGUAGACAUGAAAUUGCUACAGGGAGAUACGACCGGUCGUCAACUCCUCCCACCUAAUUGAAAUCACUUACCUCACAUACUCACAUCUUGAAGUAGCAGAGCUUGAUAAUGAAUAAGUGAGUAGUAAGGUCGUCCUGCAACAUAAUCUAGGAUCCCUUCACCUGCUGCUCUUACACCAUGAAUUUCGUUCCAACUUGGAAACCACCUCGAAAGGCGGCGAUCAUUCCGACCAAGAGUGCAGCUGUGGAGGCAAAGAGAGGCCAAAAGAAUGCUAGAAACAAUGACAGAACCACUGAAACUGCUGGUACAACAGUUAUUUGGUCUUUGUUUUGGAGAACCUUUGUUUGAACGUCCAUGGAGAUUGAGAAACAGAAACAGAGAGGAAUGGCUAUGAGUGAUGAUGAUGCUUUACUGCAAAACAUUGUAUUGCUCAUGAGUUUCAAGACUUGGCUCAUCAGCUUCUUAUUUUGAAUAUAAUCCGUUAUUGUGAAAAUACUGAAAUACCCUUGUACAGUCAGUAGAUAUUUUUGUUGGGGAGUUGAAGGAGAGGGGGAGACAGGGGUUAAUGAGUCAAUAAGACAGGGAACAACUGGAAACGUGGGGACAAGGAUGCUUGAUCAUAUUGUUGUCUGUUUGCUUGAUUGGUCGGUUGCCUUGUCCCUUCAGAGAAGUAAUCACUUUAUUUCCAUAUGGAUUGCUGGGUACUAUUGAGGAAAAGAAUGACAUCUUUUCUCUUCUUGUGUA